Molecule: ribosomal RNA, 441 nt
Filed under: uncultured bacterium
Lineage: Bacteria
Description: partial 16S ribosomal RNA
Rfam family: Bacterial small subunit ribosomal RNA
Source: RNAcentral
CCUACGGGUGGCUGCAGUAGGGAAUAUUAGUUAAUGUGCGAAAGCGCGAACUAGCAACGCCGCGUGUGCGAUGAAGGCCUUCGGGUCGUAAAGCACUUUUCGAGAAGAUGAGGAAGGACAGUACUCUCGGAAUAAGUCUCGGCUAACUACGUGCCAGCAGCCUCGGUAAAACGUAGGAGGCAAGCGUUAUCCGGAUUUACUGGGCGUAAAGCGCGUGCAGGCGGUUUGGAAAGUUGGAUGUGAAAGAUCCUGGCUCAACGAGGAGAGGUCGGUCAAAACUUCCAGACUUGAGGGCAGUAGAGGGAGGUGGAAUUCCGUGUGUAGUGGUGAAAUGCGUAGAUAUACGGAGGAACACCAGUGGCGAAAGCGACCUCCUGGGCUGCAUCUGACGCUCAGACGCGAAAGCUAGGGGAGCAAACGGGAUUAGAUACCCCUGUAGUC